This 253-nucleotide ribosomal RNA is filed under the name uncultured bacterium. Its description in RNAcentral is "partial small subunit ribosomal RNA". It matches the Rfam family "Bacterial small subunit ribosomal RNA", at positions 26 to 285 of the family's 1533-position model. The record is from RNAcentral.
AGGACGAACGCUGGCGGCGUGCCUAACACAUGCAAGUCGAGCGGAAAGGCCCUUCGGGGUACUCGAGCGGCGAACGGGUGAGUAACACGUGAGUAACCUGCCCCUAGCUCUGGGAUAGCUCCGGGAAACCGGGAUUAAAUACCAGAUACGACCACUUUAGACAUCUGUCGUGGUGGAAAGGAUUCCGGCUAGGGAUGGGCUCGCGGCCUAUCAGCUUGUUGGUGGGGUAACGCCUACCAAGGCGACGACGGUA